This 19-nucleotide non-coding RNA is filed under the name Mus musculus (house mouse). Lineage: Eukaryota; Metazoa; Chordata; Mammalia; Rodentia; Muridae. The record is from RNAcentral.
UUUUAGGCAUGGUGUAUGU